CAGUAGCCGCGGUAAAACGGAGGGGGCUAGCGUUGUUCGGAAUUACUGGGCGUAAAGCGCACGUAGGCGGCUUGGUAAGUUAGAGGUGAAAGCCUGGAGCUCAACUCCAGAAUUGCCUUUAAGACUGCCGAGCUAGCAGGUGAGAGAGGUAAGUGGAAUUCCGAGUGUAGAGGUGAAAUUCGUAGAUAUUCGGAAGAACACCAGUGGCGAAGGCGGCUUACUGGCUCAUACUGGACGCUGAGGUGCGAAAGCGUGGGGAGCAAACAGGAUUAGAGACCCCCGUAGUCCCUGUCUCUUAUAC
RNAcentral lists this ribosomal RNA (301 nucleotides) under uncultured bacterium. Its description in RNAcentral is "partial 16S ribosomal RNA". It matches the Rfam family "Bacterial small subunit ribosomal RNA", at positions 509 to 807 of the family's 1533-position model. The record is from RNAcentral.